UUUAGCGCCUACUGAAAGAUUGGUUCAUUAAUAUAUUCCUUCUUGCGUUUCAUAUACAUACGCAUAUGUUAAUUCUUUGUUGCUGCACGCGCCGAGAUUACUCAGCUCUUCGGUAAGUAAGAAAAAUUCUAUUUUCAACCCACAUCCGCUUUAUUUAUAUACAUAAUACGUACAUUUCGCUGGCGAUAACUAACAACAAACCAAGCGUAAUCU
This is a long non-coding RNA of Drosophila sulfurigaster albostrigata, 213 nucleotides long. RefSeq lists it as uncharacterized. Lineage: Eukaryota; Metazoa; Arthropoda; Insecta; Diptera; Drosophilidae. The record is from RefSeq and is a predicted model, not a curated record. The transcript is spliced from 3 exons.